GCCGCUCAGAAACUUAAAGAAUUGACGGGACCCGCACAAGCGGUGGAGUAUGUGGUUUAAUUCGAUGCAACGCGAAGAACCUUACCUGGUCUUGACAUCCCGGAGACCCUUAGGAAACUAGGGGGUGCUUCCAUCUGGAAGAAUCUGGAGACAGGUGCUGCAUGGCUGUCGUCAGCUCGUGUCGUGAGAUGUUGGGUUAAGUCCCGCAACGAGCGCAACCCUUGCCUUUAGUUGCCAGCAGUUCGGCUGGGCACUCUAAAGGGACUGCCGGUGUUAAACCGGAGGAAGGUGGGGAUGACGUCAAGUCCUCAUGGCCUUUAUGACCAGGGCUACACACGUACUACAAUGGCCGAUACAAAGGGCAGCGACACUGCGAGGUGAAGCCAAUCCCGUAAAAUCGGUCUCAGUCCGGAUUGGAGUCUGCAACUCGACCCCGUGAAGUUGGAAUCGCUAGUAAUCGUGGAUCAGCAUGCCACGGUGAAUACGUUCCCGGGCCUU
This 498-nucleotide ribosomal RNA is filed under the name uncultured Desulfobulbus sp. RNAcentral describes it as "bacterial SSU rRNA". It matches the Rfam family "Bacterial small subunit ribosomal RNA", at positions 904 to 1382 of the family's 1533-position model. Lineage: Bacteria; Pseudomonadati; Thermodesulfobacteriota; Desulfobulbia; Desulfobulbales; Desulfobulbaceae. The record is from RNAcentral.